UGGAACUUGCGGCUUAAUUUGACUCAACACUGGAAAUCUCACCAGGCCCGGACACCGGAAGGAUUGACAGAUUGAGAGCUCUUUCUCGAUUCGGUGGGUGGUGGUGCAUGGCCGUUCUUAGUUGGUGGAGUGAUUUGUCUGGUUAAUUCCGAUAACGAACGAGACUCCGUCCUGCUAACUAGUCGAGACGUCACUCUUGCGUUUCGAAUUCUUCUUAGAGGGACUGGCGGCAUCUAGCCGCACGAGAUGGAGCAAUAACAGGUCUGUGAUGCCCUUAGAUGUUCUGGGCUGCACGCGUGUUACACUGAAGGGAUCAGCGUGUCCUCCCUGGCCGAGAGGUCCGGGUAACCCGCUGAACCCCCUUCGUGGUAGGGAUCGGAGCUUGCAAUUAUUCUCCGUGAACCAGGAAUGCCCAGUAAGCGCAAGUCAUAAGCUUGCGUUGAUUACGUCCCUGCCGUUUGUACACACCGCCCGUCGCUACUACCGAUUGAACGUUUUAGUGAGGUAUUUGGACUGGACCUCAGCCGGUUCGCGCCGGCUGUGCUGUUCGGGAAGACUCCCAAACUUGAGCGUUUAGAGGAAGUAAAAGUCGUAACAA
This 598-nucleotide ribosomal RNA is filed under the name Mesocyclops longisetus curvatus. Its description in RNAcentral is "SSU rRNA". It matches the Rfam family "Eukaryotic small subunit ribosomal RNA", at positions 1177 to 1797 of the family's 1831-position model. The record is from RNAcentral. Lineage: Eukaryota; Metazoa; Arthropoda; Copepoda; Cyclopoida; Cyclopidae.